Molecule: transfer RNA, 87 nt
Filed under: Chloroflexota bacterium
Lineage: Bacteria; Bacillati; Chloroflexota
Description: Chloroflexi bacterium (hot springs metagenome) tRNA-Ser
Rfam family: tRNA
About the family: Transfer RNA (tRNA) molecules are approximately 80 nucleotides in length.
Source: RNAcentral
GGAGAGGUGUCCGAGUGGUUGAUGGAGCCGCUCUCGAAAAGCGGUAGGUGAUGAGCCUCGUGGGUUCGAAUCCCACCCUCUCCGCCA